RNAcentral lists this ribosomal RNA (3072 nucleotides) under Shewanella sp. YLB-09. Its description in RNAcentral is "23S ribosomal RNA". It matches the Rfam family "Bacterial large subunit ribosomal RNA". Lineage: Bacteria; Pseudomonadati; Pseudomonadota; Gammaproteobacteria; Alteromonadales; Shewanellaceae. The record is from RNAcentral.
GUUGUAUGGUUAAGUGACUAAGCGUAUACGGUGAUGCCUUGGCAGUCAGAGGCGAUGAAGGACGUAGUAACUUGCGAAAAGCGUUGGCGAGCUAGUAACAAGCAUUUGAGCUAACGAUAUCCGAAUGGGGAAACCCACUCACAUAAGUGAGUAUCACAUACUGUCAUAGGUAUGUGAGGCAAACCCGGGGAACUGAAACAUCUAAGUACCCGGAGGAAAAGAAAUCAACCGAGAUUCCCCUAGUAGCGGCGAGCGAACGGGGAUUAGCCCUUAAGUCUAUAGGGUGUUAGUGGAAUGAGUUGGAAAGCUCAGCGGCACAGGUGAUAGCCCCGUACAUGAAAAACUAACUAUAGAUGAAAACGAGUAGGACGGGACACGUGACAUCUUGUCUGAACAUGGGGGGACCAUCCUCCAAGGCUAAAUACUCCUGACUGACCGAUAGUGAACCAGUACCGUGAGGGAAAGGCGAAAAGAACCCUGUGAGGGGAGUGAAAUAGAACCUGAAACCGUAUACGUACAAGCAGUGGGAGCGGUCCUUGAGACCGUGACUGCGUACCUUUUGUAUAAUGGGUCAGCGACUUACAUUUUGUAGCAAGGUUAAGCGAAUAGCGGAGCCGUAGGGAAACCGAGUGUUAACUGCGCGUUUAGUUGCAAGGUGUAGACCCGAAACCGAGUGAUCUAGCCAUGGGCAGGUUGAAGGUUGAGUAACAUCAACUGGAGGACCGAACACACGUAUGUUGAAAAAUGCGGUGAUGACUUGUGGCUGGGGUGAAAGGCCAAUCAAACUCGGAGAUAUCUGGUUCUCCUCGAAAGCUAUUUAGGUAGCGCCUCGUACGAAUACCAUUGGGGGUAGAGCACUGUUAAGGCUAGGGGGUCAUCCCGACUUACCAACCCUUUGCAAACUCCGAAUACAAUGAGUACUAUACGGGAGACACACGGCGGGUGCUAACGCGUCGUGAAAAGGGAAACAACCCAGACCAUCAGCUAAGGUCCCAAAGUUAUUGCUAGUGGGAAACGAUGUGGGAAGGCUUAGACAGCUAGGAUGUUGGCUUAGAAGCAGCCAUCAUUUAAAGAAAGCGUAAUAGCUCACUAGUCGAGUCGGCCUGCGCGGAAGAUUUAACGGGGCUAAGCAAUACACCGAAGCUAUGGUUUGCUAGUUUACUAGCAAGCGGUAGAGAGCGUUCUGUAAGCCGUUGAAGGCGAAGGGGUAACCCACGCUGGGGUAUCAGAAGUGCGAAUGCUGACAUGAGUAACGAUAAAGGGGUGAACUCCCUCGCCGAAAGACAAGGUCCUGUCCAAUGUUAUCAGGGGAAACGAUGUGGGAAGGCUUAGACAGCUAGGAUGUUGGCUUAGAAGCAGCCAUCAUUUAAAGAAAGCGUAAUAGCUCACUAGUCGAGUCGGCCUGCGCGGAAGAUUUAACGGGGCUAAGCAAUACACCGAAGCUAUGGGUUUGCUAGUUUACUAGCAAGCGGUAGAGGAGCGUUCUGUAAGCCGUUGAAGGCGAAGGGGUAACCCACGCUGGAGGUAUCAGAAGUGCGAAUGCUGACAUGAGUAACGAUAAAGGGAGUGAAAAACUCCCUCGCCGAAAGACCAAGGUUUCCUGUCCAAUGUUAAUCAGGGCAGGGUAAGUCGACCCCUAAGGUGAGGCCGAAAGGCGUAAUCGAUGGGAAACGGGUUAAUAUUCCCGUACUUCUACUAACUGCGAUGGAGAGACGGAGAAGGCUAGGCUAGCGCGGCGUUGGUUGUCCGCGUUUAAGGCUGUAGGCUGUUCACUUAGGCAAAUCCGGGUGAACGCAUUAAAUUGCAAAGCUGAGAGUUGAUGACGAGUCCCCAAGGGGAUGAAGUAGUUGAUGCCAUGCUUCCAGGAAAAUCUUCUAAGCUUCAGGUUAGUAGGAAUCGUACCCCAAACCGACACAGGUGGUUGGGUAGAGAAUACCAAGGCGCUUGAGAGAACUCGGCUGAAGGAACUAGGCAAAAUGGUACCGUAACUUCGGGAGAAGGUACGCUGCCGGCGGUGAUGGGACUUGCUCCUUAAGCUGCUGGCAGUCGCAGAUACCAGGUGGCUGCAACUGUUUAUCAAAAACACAGUACUGUGCAAACUCGCAAGAGGAAGUAUACGGUAUGACGCCUGCCCGGUGCCGGAAGGUUAAUUGAUUGGGUUAUCUUCGGAGAAGCUCAUGAUCGAAGCCCCGGUAAACGGCGGCCGUAACUAUAACGGUCCUAAGGUAGCGAAAUUCCUUGUCGGGUAAGUUCCGACCUGCACGAAUGGCGUAAUGACGGCCACGCUGUCUCCAGCCGAGACUCAGUGAAGUUGAAAUUGCGGUGAAGAUGCCGUAUACCCGCGGCUAGACGGAAAGACCCCGUGCACCUUUACUAUAGCUUGGCACUGAACAUUGAACCUACAUGUGUAGGAUAGGUGGGAGACUUUGAAGCAGAGACGCUAGUUUUUGUGGAGUCAACCUUGAAAUACCACCCUUGUAGUUUUGAUGUUCUAACUCUGGCCCCUGAAUCGGGGUUGAGGACAGUGCCUGGUGGGUAGUUUGACUGGGGCGGUCUCCUCCCAAAGAGUAACGGAGGAGCACGAAGGUUGGCUAAGUACGGUCGGACAUCGUACGGUUAGUGCAAUGGCAUAAGCCAGCUUAACUGCGAGACAUACACGUCGAGCAGGUACGAAAGUAGGUCAUAGUGAUCCGGUGGUUCUGAAUGGAAGGGCCAUCGCUCAACGGAUAAAAGGUACGCCGGGGAUAACAGGCUGAUACCGCCCAAGAGUUCAUAUCGACGGCGGUGUUUGGCACCUCGAUGUCGGCUCAUCACAUCCUGGGGCUGAAGUCGGUCCCAAGGGUAUGGCUGUUCGCCAUUUAAAGUGGUACGCGAGCUGGGUUCAGAACGUCGUGAGACAGUUCGGUCCCUAUCUGCCGUGGGCGUUGGAUGAUUGAAGGAAGCUGCUCCUAGUACGAGAGGACCGGAGUGGACGAACCGCUGGUGUUCGGGUUGUUAUGCCAAUAGCAUUGCCCGGUAGCUACGUUCGGAAUCGAUAACCGCUGAAAGCAUCUAAGCGGGAAGCGAGUCCUA